AGAGUUUGAUCCUGGCUCAGGAUGAACGCUAGCGGCAGGCUUAAUACAUGCAAGUCGAGGGGCAGCGCGGGUAGCAAUACCUGGCGGCGACCGGCAACGGGUGCGGAACACGUACGCAACCUUCCCAAAACUGGUGAAUAGCCUUUCGAAAGAGAGAUUAAUACACCGUAACAUAACGAAAAGGCAUCUUUUUGUUAUUAUAGUAGCAAUACGGUUUUGGAUGGGCGUGCGCCUGAUUAGGUAGUUGGCGGGGUAACGGCCCACCAAGCCUGCGAUCAGUAACUGGUGUGAGAGCACGACCAGUCACACGGGCACUGAGACACGGGCCCGACUCCUACGGGAGGCAGCAGUAAGGAAUAUUGGUCAAUGGACGCAAGUCUGAACCAGCCAUGCCGCGUGAAGGAUGAAGGCCCUCUGGGUUGUAAACUUCUUUUAUCUGGGACGAAAAAAGCCCAUUCUUGUGCACUUGACGGUACCAGAGGAAUAAGCACCACCUAACUCCGUGCCAGCAGCCGCGGUAAUACGGAGGGUGCAAGCGUUAUCCGGAUUUACUGGGUUUAAAGGGUGCGUAGGUGGGUCUGUAAGUCAGUGGUGAAAUCUCCGAGCUUAACUCGGAAACUGCCAUUGAUACUAUAGGUCUUGAAUUAUCUGGAGGUGAGCGGAAUAUGUCAUGUAGCGGUGAAAUGCUUAGAUAUGACAUAGAACACCAAUUGCGAAGGCAGCUCACUACGGAUAUAUUGACACUGAGGCACGAAAGCGUGGGGAUCAAACAGGAUUAGAUACCCUGGUAGUCCACGCCCUAAACGAUGCAUAUUUGGUGUGGGUCAUUCAGUUGAUCCGUGCCGGAGCUAACGCGUUAAAUAUGCCGCCUGGGGAGUACAGUCGCAGGGCUGAAACUCAAAGGAAUUGACGGGGCCCCGCACAAGCGGUGGAGCAUGUGGUUUAAUUCGACGCAACGCGAAGAACCUUACCUGGGCUCGAAAUGCUAUGGACCAGCUGGUGAAAGCCGGCCUUCCCGCAAGGGACUAUAGUAUAGGUGCUGCAUGGCUGUCGUCAGCUCGUGUCGUGAGAUGUUGGGUUAAGUCCCGCAACGAGCGCAACCCUUGUCCUGUGUUGCCAUACCGAAAGGUGGAACUCGCAGGAGACCGCCAGGGAUAACCUGGAGGAAGGUGGGGAUGACGUCAAGUCCUCAUGGCCUUUAUGUCCAGGGCUACACACGUGCUACAAUGGACGGUACAAAGGGCUGCCAACCCGCGAGGGGGAGCCAAUCCCAAAAAACCGUUCUCAGUUCGGAUUGCAGGCUGCAACUCGCCUGCAUGAAGCUGGAAUCGCUAGUAAUGGUGGAUCAGAACGCCACCGUGAAUACGUUCCCGGGCCUUGUACACACCGCCCGUCACAUCACGAAAGUGGGUUGUACUAGAAGUUCGCACGCUAACCCGCAAGGGAGGCAGCGGCCCAAGGUAUGACUCAUGAUUGGGGUGAAGUCGUAACAAGGUA
Molecule: ribosomal RNA, 1497 nt
Filed under: metagenome
Description: bacterial SSU rRNA
Rfam family: Bacterial small subunit ribosomal RNA
Source: RNAcentral